CUGAACCAGCGACGCGACGACUCCCGUUCUCCAUCCGGGCACCUGGAACGGGCCGAGCCAGUGGUGCGCCCACCGCUUCGC
RNAcentral lists this non-coding RNA (81 nucleotides) under Deinococcus maricopensis DSM 21211. RNAcentral describes it as "c-di-GMP-II-GAG riboswitch aptamer". It matches the Rfam family "Cyclic di-GMP-II riboswitch aptamer". Lineage: Bacteria; Thermotogati; Deinococcota; Deinococci; Deinococcales; Deinococcaceae. The record is from Rfam by way of RNAcentral.